CAGACAACAUUUCGGUGUUGGCGAUUGAACAUAAUAAGACAAAGAGAAAAAUUCUAGAGUCUCUAUACAUUAUGACGAAUGACACGAUGAAUUUCAGGCGAGACACUGAGAACAUUAAUUCGGUGUACAAAAGCUUGCUAAGAAAAUAAUUAAUCCAUGUUCCGUAGAAAGUGCAGUUUAGUUAGCCAGCAUUGUCUUUUCCACUUGAGUUUUUAAUGUUAUUGAGUUGCAAUGUCAAAAUAGUAAACAAAGACGGUCGAGUUAGUGUUUUUGAAAAAUUAAUUAAUUCGAUUGAGAUGUAUUAUUCAUGCUGAUGAUGCGAAAAUAAAAUCGCGAAACGUCCAUAAAAAACAAAGUUUUUUAUUUGUCGACCGGAAAAUCAAGGAAAACCCAAACCCUUAUUCAUUGUUUCCACGGUCAAGGAAAAC
Long non-coding RNA from Bradysia coprophila, 428 nucleotides. NCBI's taxonomy places the organism in Eukaryota, Metazoa, Arthropoda, Insecta, Diptera, Sciaridae. The record is from RefSeq and is a predicted model, not a curated record.